UCAUGAAUAAAAUAGUAUCUCACAUCAAU
Molecule: non-coding RNA, 29 nt
Filed under: Bombyx mori (domestic silkworm)
Lineage: Eukaryota; Metazoa; Arthropoda; Insecta; Lepidoptera; Bombycidae
Source: RNAcentral